GAUGAACGUUGGCGGCAUGCUUAACACAUGCAAGUCGAACGCAGGGCGUCACGCUCUGAGUGGCGAACGGGUGCGUAACACGUAGGUGACCUGCCUGACAAUGGGGGAGUAACCCGUGGAAACACGGGCUAAUACCGCAUACGCUGGGGAUCGUUCGAGAGUUCCCAGGAAAGUUCCGGCGUUGUCAGAGGGGCCUGCGGCCUAUCAGAUAGUUGGUGAGGUAACGGCUCACCAAGUCGAUGACGGGUAGCUGACCUGAGAGGGUGGUCAGCCACAGGGGCACUGAGACACGGGGCCCCACUCCUACGGGAGGCAGCAGUGAGGAAUAUUGGGCCAAUGGGGGACAACCCUGACCCAGCAAUGCCGCGUGCAGGAGGACGCC
This 382-nucleotide ribosomal RNA is filed under the name uncultured bacterium. RNAcentral's name for it is "bacterial SSU rRNA". It matches the Rfam family "Bacterial small subunit ribosomal RNA", at positions 28 to 415 of the family's 1533-position model. The record is from RNAcentral.